Molecule: ribosomal RNA, 403 nt
Filed under: Nassarius hepaticus
Lineage: Eukaryota; Metazoa; Mollusca; Gastropoda; Neogastropoda; Nassariidae
Description: partial 16S ribosomal RNA
Rfam family: Bacterial large subunit ribosomal RNA
Source: RNAcentral
UCUGACCGUGCAAAGGUAGCAUAAUCAUUUGCCUUAUAAUUGAAGGCUAGUAUGAAUGGUUUGACAAGAAUGAAGCUGUCUCUUUAUAAUUUAAUAGAAUUUUAUCUUUAGGUGAAGAAGCCUAUGUAAAAUUAAAAGACAAGAAGACCCUAUCGAGCUUAAAAAAAAUUAAUAGAAUUAAGUUAAUUAAUAUUCAUAAAAAAUUGUCUAUUAAAUAUUUUAGUUGGGGCGACUGAGGAACAUGAAAAGCUUCCUUUAAAAUAAAAUUAACUAAAAUCAAACUAGAAUUGAUCCAAAAUUAUUUUGAUUAAAGAAAUUAGUUACCGUAGGGAUAACAGCAUUAUCUUUUUUAAGAGCUCAUAUCGAAAAAAAGGUUUGUGACUCGAUGUUGGACCAAGAAUAU